AUACGGAGGGUGCAAGCGUUAAUCGGAAUUACUGGGCGUAAAGCGCGCGUAGGCGGAUAUUUAAGUCUCAUGUGAAAGCCCUGGGCUCAACCUGGGAACUGCAUGGGAUACUGGGUAUCUAGAAUACAGUAGAGGGUAGUGGAACUUCAGGUGUAGCGGUGAAAUGCGUAGAGAUCUGAAGGAACAUCAGUGGCGAAGGCGACUACCUGGACUGAUAUUGACGCUGAGGUGCGAAAGCGUGGGGAGCAAACGGGAUUAGAAACCCUAGUAGUCC
RNAcentral lists this ribosomal RNA (274 nucleotides) under uncultured bacterium. RNAcentral's name for it is "partial 16S ribosomal RNA". It matches the Rfam family "Bacterial small subunit ribosomal RNA", at positions 523 to 796 of the family's 1533-position model. The record is from RNAcentral.